Molecule: ribosomal RNA, 253 nt
Filed under: uncultured bacterium
Lineage: Bacteria
Description: partial 16S ribosomal RNA
Rfam family: Bacterial small subunit ribosomal RNA
Source: RNAcentral
UACAGAGGGGGCAAGCGUUAUUCGGAAUUAUUGGGCGUAAAGGGCGCGUAGGCGGCUUUGCAAGUGACGGGUGAAAGCCCUCGGCUUAACCGAGGAACUGCCUGUCAGACUGUAAGGCUUGAGACCGGGAGAGGUGAGUGGAAUUCCCAGUGUAGCGGUGAAAUGCGUAGAUAUUGGGAGGAACACCAGUGGCGAAGGCGGCUCACUGGACCGGAACUGACGCUGAGGCGCGAAAGCGUGGGGAGCGAACGGG